UGAAGAUAAGACGGAUUAGCGGCGGACGGGUGAGUAACACGUGAGUAACCUGCCUUUUACACAGGGAUAGCCUCGGGAAACCGGGAUUAAAACCUGAUGAAACUAUCAAAUCACAUGAUUAAGAAAGUUAAAACUCCGGUGGUAAAAGAUGGACUCGCGUCCCAUUAGCUAGUUGGUGAAGGUAACGGCCCACCAAGGCAACGAUGGGUAGCCGGCCUGAGAGGGUGAACGGCCACAUUGGAACUGAGAAACGGUCCAAACUCCUACGGGAGGCAGCAGCU
RNAcentral lists this ribosomal RNA (281 nucleotides) under uncultured Peptoniphilus sp. Its description in RNAcentral is "partial 16S ribosomal RNA". It matches the Rfam family "Bacterial small subunit ribosomal RNA", at positions 77 to 355 of the family's 1533-position model. The record is from RNAcentral. Lineage: Bacteria; Bacillati; Bacillota; Tissierellia; Tissierellales; Peptoniphilaceae.